This 492-nucleotide ribosomal RNA is filed under the name uncultured bacterium. RNAcentral describes it as "bacterial SSU rRNA". It matches the Rfam family "Bacterial small subunit ribosomal RNA", at positions 29 to 509 of the family's 1533-position model. The record is from RNAcentral.
AGUGAACGCUGGCGGCAGGCCUAAUACAUGCAAGUCGAACGGCAGCACAGCAGAGCUUGCUCUGUGGGUGGCGAGUGGCGGACGGGUGAGGAAUACAUGGGAAUCUGCCCAGUCGUGGGGGAUAACGUAUGGAAACGUACGCUAAUACCGCAUGCGCCCUAAGGGGGAAAGCCGGGGACCGCAAGGCCUGGCGCGAUUGGAUGAGCCCAUGUUCGAUUAGCUAGUUGGCGGGGUAAAGGCCCACCAAGGCGACGAUCGAUAGCUGGUCUGAGAGGAUGAUCAGCCACACUGGAACUGAGACACGGUCCAGACUCCUACGGGAGGCAGCAGUAGGGAAUAUUGGACAAUGGGGGCAACCCUGAUCCAGCCAUGCCGCGUGAGUGAAGAAGGUCCUCGGGUUGUAAAGCUCUUUUGUCCGGAAAGAAAAGCAAUCGGUUAAUACCCGGUUGUUCUGACGGUACCGGAAGAAUAAGCACCGGCUAACUUCGUGCC